RNAcentral lists this ribosomal RNA (470 nucleotides) under uncultured bacterium. RNAcentral's name for it is "bacterial SSU rRNA". It matches the Rfam family "Bacterial small subunit ribosomal RNA", at positions 28 to 507 of the family's 1533-position model. The record is from RNAcentral.
GAUGAACGCUAGCUACAGGCUUAACACAUGCAAGUCGAGGGGCAGCAUGACGAUAGCUUGCUAUUGUCGAUGGCGACCGGCGCACGGGUGAGUAACGCGUAUCCAACCUGCCCUUGUCCAUCGGAUAACCCGUCGAAAGGCGGACUAACACGAUAUGCAGUCCACAGCAGGCAUCUAACGUGGACGAAAUGUGAAGGAGAAGGAUGGAUCCGCGUCUGAUUAGGCAGUUGCGGGGUAACGGCCCACCAAACCGACGAUCAGUAGCCGACCUGAGAGGGUGACCGGCCACAUUGGAACUGAGACACGGUCCAGACUCCUACGGGAGGCAGCAGUGGGGAAUCUUCCGCAAUGGGCGAAAGCCUGACCCAGCAACGCCGCGUGAAGGAAGAAGGCUUUCGGGUUGUAAACUUCUUUUGUCAGGGACGAAGCAAGUGACGGUACCUGACGAAUAAGCCACGGCUAACUACGUG